UACGGAGGGUGCAAGCGUUAUCCGGAUUCACUGGGUUUAAAGGGUGCGUAGGCGGUUAGGUAAGUCCGUGGUGAAAUCCUGCAGCUUAACUGCAGAACUGCCAUGGAUACUAUCUAUCUUGAAUGUCGUGGAGGUUAGCGGAAUAUGUCAUGUAGCGGUGAAAUGCUUAGAGAUGACAUAGAACACCCAUGGCGAAGGCAGCUAACUACGCGAUAAUUGACGCUGAUGCACGAAAGCGUGGGGAUCAAACAGG
This 253-nucleotide ribosomal RNA is filed under the name uncultured bacterium. RNAcentral describes it as "partial 16S ribosomal RNA". It matches the Rfam family "Bacterial small subunit ribosomal RNA", at positions 524 to 776 of the family's 1533-position model. The record is from RNAcentral.